AAACUUAAAGGAAUUGACGGGGCCGCACAAGCGGUGGAGCAUGUGGUUUAAUUCGACGCAACGCGAAGAACCUUACCAGGCUUGACAUCCCCUGACCGCGUAUGAAAGUACGUUUUCACCCUCGGGUGACAGGGAGACAGGUGGUGCAUGGUUGUCGUCAGCUCGUGUCGUGAGAUGUUGGGUUAAGUCCCGCAACGAGCGCAACCCCUACGUUUAGUUGCUAACGCGUGAAGGCGAGCACUCUAGACGAACUGCCGUUGACAAAACGGAGGAAGGUGGGAUGACGUCAAAUCAUCAUGCCCCUUAUGUUCUGGGCUACACACGUGCUACAAUGGCCGGUACAGACGGACGCAAAGCCGCGAGGUGGAGCAAAUCCUAAAAAGCCGGUCUCAGUUCGGAUUGCAGGCUGCAAUUCGCCUGCAUGAAGUCGGAAUCGCUAGUAAUCGCAGGUCAGCAUACUGCGGUGAAUACGUUCCCGGGCCUU
Molecule: ribosomal RNA, 484 nt
Filed under: uncultured Pelotomaculum sp.
Lineage: Bacteria; Bacillati; Bacillota; Clostridia; Eubacteriales; Desulfotomaculaceae
Description: bacterial SSU rRNA
Rfam family: Bacterial small subunit ribosomal RNA
Source: RNAcentral